GGAUGGCACUCUGGAGACAUCUGCAUAUGCAGGGGCCGAAGGGGCAAGCGUUUCGGCGCGAAACUCUCAGGCAAAAGGACAGAGGCGGUUUU
Molecule: non-coding RNA, 92 nt
Filed under: Lacrimispora saccharolytica
Lineage: Bacteria; Bacillati; Bacillota; Clostridia; Lachnospirales; Lachnospiraceae
Also listed under: 1 other name
Description: Clostridium saccharolyticum Glycine sequence
Rfam family: Glycine riboswitch aptamer
About the family: This family represents the bacterial glycine riboswitch. Glycine riboswitches usually consist of two metabolite-binding aptamers domains with similar structures in tandem.
Source: RNAcentral